This 250-nucleotide ribosomal RNA is filed under the name uncultured Caryophanaceae bacterium. RNAcentral's name for it is "uncultured Planococcaceae bacterium partial 16S ribosomal RNA". It matches the Rfam family "Bacterial small subunit ribosomal RNA", at positions 524 to 773 of the family's 1533-position model. Lineage: Bacteria; Bacillati; Bacillota; Bacilli; Caryophanales; Caryophanaceae. The record is from RNAcentral.
UACGUAGGUGGCAAGCGUUGUCCGGAAUUAUUGGGCGUAAGGCGCGCGCAGGCGGUUUCUUAAGUCUGAUGUGAAAGCCCACGGCUCAACCGUGGAGGGUCAUUGGAAACUGGGAAACUUGAGUGCAGAAGAGGAAAGUGGAAUUCCACGUGUAGCGGUGAAGUGCGUAGAGAUGUGGAGGAACACCAGUGGCGAAGGCGACUUUCUGGUCUGUAACUGACGCUGAGGCGCGAAAGCGUGGGGAGCAAAC